This 498-nucleotide ribosomal RNA is filed under the name uncultured bacterium. RNAcentral's name for it is "bacterial SSU rRNA". It matches the Rfam family "Bacterial small subunit ribosomal RNA", at positions 28 to 531 of the family's 1533-position model. The record is from RNAcentral.
GAUGAACGCUAGCGGGAGGCUUAAUACAUGCAAGUCGAGCGCUCUGACUUCGGUUGGGGAGCGGCGCACGGGUGAGUAACACGUACGCAAUCUACCUUAAGCUGGGGGAUAGCCCUGGGAAACUGGGAGCAAUCCGCCAUAGUAUUUGAAGAUGGCAUCACCUUCAAAUUAAAGUGAUAGCGGCUUAAGAUGAGCGUGCGUCCGAUUAGCUAGUUGGCGAGGUAACGGCUCACCAAGGCGACGAUCAGUAAGGGGCGUGAGAGCGUGGCCCCUCACACGGGUACUGAGACACGGACCCGACUCCUACGGGAGGCAGCAGUAAGGAAUAUUGGACAAUGGGCGGAAGCCUGAUCCAGCCAUCCCGCGUGCUUGAUGAAGGCCCUCUGGGUCGUAAAGAGCUUUAGACUGGGAAGAAACCACUUCUCGUGAGAGGUGUUGACGGUACCAGUAGAAUAAGCACCGGCUAACUCCGUGCCAGCAGCCGCGGUAAUGUAGUCG